Molecule: long non-coding RNA, 342 nt
Organism: Amblyraja radiata (thorny skate)
Lineage: Eukaryota; Metazoa; Chordata; Chondrichthyes; Rajiformes; Rajidae
Exons: 3
Source: RefSeq, a predicted model, not a curated record
UCAAGACCAUUCUUCAAGACUGAUCCUGUCUGAAGAAGAAUCCUGGCCUAAAAUGCCACUUGUCCAUUCCCUCCACAGAUGCUGCCUGACACGCUGAGUUCCUCCAGCACUUUGUGUUUUGUUCAGCAUUGUUGAUGUCAGUUGAACAAGUGCAGUGCCUCAAAGUCAUGCCAAGUAGCCAUUUCAAAAACGUGUUUGUUUUAUUCUUGAAGCACGCUGGUCACACUACAGGGGAACAACAUGGAUAAGCCAAAACACAAUCAUUUAAUAAUAUUGUCACAAUACUUUUACCCUCUCCUCGAAAUGGCAAAAUAAUUUCAUGCAUGCAGGCAUGUGGGACUA